This 459-nucleotide ribosomal RNA is filed under the name uncultured bacterium. Its description in RNAcentral is "partial 16S ribosomal RNA". It matches the Rfam family "Bacterial small subunit ribosomal RNA", at positions 338 to 795 of the family's 1533-position model. The record is from RNAcentral.
CCUACGGGUGGCAGCAGUGAGGAAUAUUGGUCAAUGGGCGCGAGGCUGAACCAGCCAAGUCGCGUGAGGGAAGAAGGUCCUAUGGAUUGUAAACCUCUUUUGUCGGGGAGCAAAAGACGCCACGCGUGGCUUUCCGAGAGUACCCGAAGAAAAAGCAUCGGCUAACUCCGUGCCAGCAGCCGCGGUAAUACGGAGGAUGCGAGCGUUAUCCGGAUUUAUUGGGUUUAAAGGGUGCGCAGGCGGAAGAUCAAGUCAGCGGUAAAAUUGAGGGGCUCAACCUCAUCGAGCUGUUGAAACUGGUUUUCUUGAGUGAGUGAGAAGUAUGCGGAAUGCGUGGUGUAGCGGUGAAAUGCAUAGAUAUCACGCAGAACUCCGAUUGCGAAGGCAGCAUACCGGCGCUCAACUGACGCUGAUGCACGAAAGUGUGGGUAUCGAACAGGAUUAGAUACCCGAGUAGUC